GGCGAACCGUGCGAACGUUGUUCGGAUUCACUGGGCUUAAAGGGCGCGUAGGCGGGCGAGCGAGUCCGGGGUGAAAUCUUUCGGCUUAACCGGAAAAGGGCCUUGGAUACCGCUCGUCUCGAGGGAGGUAGGGGCAGGCGGAACUUCCGGUGGAGCGGUGAAAUGCGUUGAUAUCGGAAGGAACGCCGGUGGCGAAAGCGGCCUGCUGGACCUCUUCUGACGCUGAGGCGCGAAAGCUAGGGGAGCAAACAGG
Molecule: ribosomal RNA, 253 nt
Filed under: uncultured bacterium
Lineage: Bacteria
Description: partial 16S ribosomal RNA
Rfam family: Bacterial small subunit ribosomal RNA
Source: RNAcentral